UACCAGGCAAUCAGCGAGAGGAAUUGUU
RNAcentral lists this small RNA (28 nucleotides) under Bombyx mori (domestic silkworm). RNAcentral describes it as "ovarian small RNA-20580". The record is from RNAcentral. Lineage: Eukaryota; Metazoa; Arthropoda; Insecta; Lepidoptera; Bombycidae.